Molecule: long non-coding RNA, 1170 nt
Organism: Passer domesticus (house sparrow)
Lineage: Eukaryota; Metazoa; Chordata; Aves; Passeriformes; Passeridae
Exons: 2
Source: RefSeq, a predicted model, not a curated record
UUGAGUGCAAUGAAAAGAACAGAGUCCAAAUGCUGAAAAGUUUUAAAGUGGGAUGAGAGGCAAAGCACUGGGUUUGUCUGUACUGACAUUACCACUGCAUUUAUAUUCAAACAAGUUGAUCACAUAAUCAAGACAGCUCAGACAACUUUCCCCAACACUUUCCCUGCCCAUCCCGUGGCUUUGUUUGUGCAGUCUGCCCUGUGACACCACAGCUGGAGAAAGAGCUGGAUUUGCAGCCACACCACAAAGCCAUCACGGCCUCAGCAGUGUCACAGAGCUCUGGGUAGUCAGACUGGGCAGUGCCGGGGUGCAGAUGCCCAUCCUGUGUUCACACACACACACAGCACUCACCGGCCACCACACCAUGCUGCGUCCAGCCAGGAAAAACCCCCCCACUGUGCCUCGGUUGGUGGAGUACAUGGCCUGCAAAAAAGGAAAAAAGAAAGUUUUCAUCAAAUUUCAAGUGUACCAGGCAAGCUAUACACAGGCUGAGAACAAACAGCUAGAAUGAAGGGAUUAAAAAACACACAGGCAGGAUAAAAUGGAAAAAACAGAGAAGAACAACCUUAUGAUGAAGAAAAUAAUACAAUGGAACAAUGAUUAUUUUAUCUAGGUCUGCAUUAGCCAUUCAAGUUUCAUUUCUGCACCUUUCAUUAUAGUGUGAAACACAAAAUUAAAUUUAACCAAGAAAAAAAUAUCACUCAAGUAAAAGCUCACAUGAAUUUUUCAUUGAGGUGAAAAGCCUUUGCUUUCAGGCAUCAAAAUAGACUAUAGGGUGCAAGUUUAUUUACAGAAAAUAUGCAGCUUUUUUACUCAAUACAAUCCUGCCCCUACAGGUAUCUGUUUUCUUGUGAUAUCAACAUUGUGCCUGAUUCCCUCUGAAGUUCCAAAAGAAGAAGCCAGCUAAAAUUUCCUUUUUACCAACUCAUAUUGUCUGUCAAGGGAUGGGCUUUAGAGGAAAGUUUCCUCUAAUUUUUUUAAUGACCUUGAGCCAUUAUUUACUGGAUUUCCAUUGUCAUCUCUGAUGGACUUUGAACAGGUGCUGCAGAUUUCACAGUUCAGUGUCCCUGCCAAAGGUGCUCGGGGCUUUAACAUCCACGAGCAGAUGUCUGAGAAGGAAUGACACAGAAAGGAGUGGCUUGGCUGCAAUAAACCUGCAUAUUUACCUCA